UAAUAGUCAAGAUAGUUAAGAGGG
RNAcentral lists this non-coding RNA (24 nucleotides) under Drosophila erecta. The record is from RNAcentral. RNAcentral also lists the same sequence under 1 other name. Lineage: Eukaryota; Metazoa; Arthropoda; Insecta; Diptera; Drosophilidae.